Molecule: long non-coding RNA, 655 nt
Filed under: Trifolium pratense (red clover)
Lineage: Eukaryota; Viridiplantae; Streptophyta; Magnoliopsida; Fabales; Fabaceae
Description: long non-coding RNA (TPRA_LNC009832)
Source: RNAcentral
UGAUAAUUAAUGGCUUAAUUAAUUUAUUCUAUUUGAGAUAUGUUUUGAUGAUCCUUGUUUUCCAACGCAACAAAGAAAUAAGUCUCACCUUAACAAUUAUUAUCAAUCAAUCUUAGCCAUUAAUUGGAAUUAAAAUCAAAGGCUAAGAUUUGGAGUAAGUUAUAAAACUUACUCUUGGAGUCAAUAUAUCCCUUCUCAUUUUUUUAAAGUUAAAUUAGCUCAUUCAAAUUGGCACAAGAGAUAAUCGAACCUGAGACCUCAAGGAGGAGCACACUCUCAGGUCCCAAUGACACCAGAGAGAAUUGAACCUGAGACCUCAAAGAGAGCACACUCUCAGGUCUCGAGUCAAUACCACCAGACCAACCUCAAGAAAAUAAAAUAUUUUAUCAAACAAAGGAAAUGAAAUAUGUCAAGUAAACCUAAGCAAGAAGUGUCUAUGUCAAGUAAAAACGUAGUAAUAUUUUCGUCCCAUAAGUCUUAGCUAAACUGAUAAAAAUAUCGAAAUUGUUAUGCCGGAUAUGGUGACCUGAGUUCAAAUCAAGAAUUUCACAAUUAUAUGUGAGUUUAAUUUCAGUGGAUUACUACUUAAUGUUGUUUCCGAGGUUCAAAAUCGUUAAAUAUAAUUUUCAACCACCGAAGAGAUUACUGGAUUGAG